UGCUAGAAACUUGGCCCUCAAGUUUAGUCAAAACUUAGGCCCUAAGUCUUGCCAAAAACCAUUUGAGUCUCAAAUGGUUUUGCCUAUGAUCAGUGGGCAAUGGCCAAUUGUUUUGGUGUUGGUUCCCCUAGUGCACAAUAGUAUAAAUAGAAGAGAUGAACAGGAUCAAUAGAUAACCAUCUAUUUCCUCUCAUUCAUUCCUGAUCAAACUCAUCUAUUACAAGCACUAGGAAGAGUCACACAUACCAUCUACACAUCUAGAUGGGUUCUUCAUCUAAAGAAACAUCUCAUGCUCAUAUUACCGGACUGAUAAACGGUAUUGAGCCACUUAAUGGGAGCAAUUAUGUUUUAUGGAAAGAGAAAUUAGAGAUCAAUUUAGCUCUGCUGGAUCUCGAUUAUGCUCUCAAUAAUGACGCUCCUAAAGAGCCUCAGGAGGGCUUUGAAAAUUAUGAAGCACUCCUGAAGGAAUAUAAUGAUAAAAAGGUUUUAUGGGAGCCAUCAAAUCGUAAGUGCCUCAUGAUAAUUAAAAGUUCCAUUAUUAAAAGUAUUAGAGGCGCUAUUCCGGACUCAAAUACUGCUAAGGAAUAUCUUAGGAAAGUUGAGGAUCAAUUCAAAGGUUCCUCAAAAAUUUAUGCAAGCACUUUGAUAAAGAGGCUUGCAGAAGAAAAGUAUAAUCCGACCGGAAGCUUAAGAGAGCAUAUUAUGAAGAAAUACCACAUUGCUGCUAAACUUAAGUCUUUGAAAAUGGAAAUUUCUGAUGGCUUUUUUGUGCAUUUUAUAAUGGCACCUUUGCCCCCGGCAUUUUCUCCAUAUACCAUCAACUAUAAUGCUAUGAAAAUAAAUGGAGCAUUGAUGAAAUGAUAGCCAUGUGUGUCUAAGAGGAAGAAAGGCUUAAGGCUGAGAGGAUUGAACAUGUUGGUCAAUUUCAUGCCUCUCAGAAACGGCAAUAUAAAAAGUUUGCCAAUGAAUACAUGAAGCAUAAAAAUCCUCAAUUAAAAAUAAGGGGCAAUGUUCUAAGAAAAUCCAGCAGAAUAAGCCCCAGCAAAAUGCCAACACAGAUGCGGGAAGUGAAGAAAAGAAAGAAGGAUGCCAUUUUUGUGGCAAGCCUGGACACUUCUAGAAGGAUUGUAUUGGUUUUCUAAGGUGGCUUAAUAAGAAAGGGAUUCGCUACCAAGAUGACCCUAAGAAAAGGGGAAAGAAAAAUCAGAGUGGCUAAUGGAGUUGAAGUUGAAGCUGAAGCUGUUGGUGUUUUUACACUUUUGUUGCAUACUGGUUUUAAAUUUCAACUAAAUAAUGUAUUAUAUAUACCGUCCAUGAAAAGAAACUUAGUUUCUGUAUCAUGUUUGGAUGAUGAUGGUUUUGGUUAUGAUUUUGGAAAUAAGAAAUGUAUA
Panicum virgatum (switchgrass) is the source of this 1391-nucleotide long non-coding RNA. RefSeq lists it as uncharacterized. Lineage: Eukaryota; Viridiplantae; Streptophyta; Magnoliopsida; Poales; Poaceae. The transcript has 3 exons. The record is from RefSeq and is a predicted model, not a curated record.